UAUCCACGGUGCACAGGUGGGGCUGAAACGGAUAACAGGAGCGGGCGCCGGAGGGGCGGAGGAGAGCCGCGAAGAAAGAGAAAGAAGAAGCCGGAGAAAGACGGCGACAGCUGGGAAUAGAAAGAAAAAAAUUACGGAGGAAAAGAGGAGAGACGGACGUCGACGUUGAAAAGGAUGCUGCGCGCUGUCGAUUACGACCAUGCGGGGUCGUUCGGUAACGUCGAGUAAACCCGUUCGAGACAAGUUUCAACCAACCGACUAAUUUCGAACAGUCGCGAGGAAGUUCUCGUCGAUCGAAGAAGCAAAAGUGUCUAACAGGAUGGGUCCGGAGAAUCUCGAUUAUACCGUUGGCUUUCGUGGAAAAUAGAAGCUGCCAAGCUGCCGGAGAGGGCGAAACCGUGACGACGGAAGCCCCGGUUUAUCGAGAAUUUUGAGAAUGGUAAUGCGGAAGCGGGUCAGGAAGAGACAGAGAAUAAGGAAAAGGAGGAGACGUAUAGUUGGAAUCGGGCGAAGCCGAGAGGUUGGUGGAAGGAAAAGCGAGAAGCUGCGGAAUAAUCUGGGAACGAGAAGAAAAGGAAAAGUUGAAACGCCGAAAGAAAAAGAGUUAAAACGCGUGGAGCGUGAAAGAGAGCGUGUAUUCGGUAAGGAGCGAAGAGCGAGCAGACCGGAGCGCUGUGAAUGGAACACGUGUACGGUGUCGCAUCUAUCUGAAAAGUUCAUCGUUACAAAGAUCUCUCGAAAAGAAUUUCCUGGAAUGCGAGCUAUCUUCGGGACCAUGGUGGCGAGUGUGUAAUCGAAGGAAUCGUAGAGCACUUUUCUCAUGCAAAUACCCUCGGAUGCGAGAGAAGGGACAACCAACUUCUUCUUUGGUCCGCUUAAAACUUCGAACUUGGGUAUCCUUUUAAAUUUAAAUGCUUUCCCCCAGCUCGAGCGCAUCCGUGCCCCUGAGUUCCUCUUUCGAACGACAUCGUCGCCUCGCCUCGCCUCGAUGUCGCCUCGAUGUCGCCUCGAUAUUAAGAAAAAUACUAAAAUCUACUUGUUCCUCGCGUAUUCUAUGCACAGGUAAACCGACAUUUCCUCUAAUAUCCUUUUCGAUUAUUACGUUCCACUGUUCCAGAUACGUUUUCGAGUCUCGCGGCCAAUCGAAUUUGUAGAGCUUUCGCUCGUAACGAGUCGACGCGAUACGUCCGCGUCCGUCGAAAACUACAGCAGCUUUACCAGCUAUAGCAGCGGGAAACGACGAGAAAUAUUAAUAAUAGCUGGUAUAUCUAUUAAAUGAAAUUAUCGCGAGCAAACGGUCGCACGCGAGCCUUGCCCGCUUGGAUUUUACCGCAAUUCGAUCUACAUAUAUUUAAUCUAGCCCGUUGUAUAGCUACGCGCGUCGCACGGUCACGCGUUCUACGGCAACGCGUUAGGAAUUUCGGAAUUUAGAAAUUUCAAACUUUACAGAUUCGAGCAUUUCGGGAUUCUAACAACGGAUUAUCCUAGUUUUCCACGCUGACGCCGGGGCCUUCUAUAAAAUGUGGCGAAAUUUCGAUAUCGAUAAUGAGUACGUACAUAAAUAUCAGUUUGUAGCGCACGUAACGAAACACACUGCAUAUUUCAACGCGAAUGGGAAAAUAUUUUCCAGAGAAGCGUUAAAAAUUCAAUCUUUCGAGUAACAAAAUGCUGGGGAAUUUCCAUAACUGGCGCCAUUGUUUUUGCAGGAAACGUUACGGUGGUCAUAAAAGGACGUUCGUUCGAUCCGGCAAUUAUUGAAACGAAUAAAAUUUUCACUCUGUACGUAAUAAUAAGCGGGCGCACGAAUAUACCGCAAUAAUUACGAGAACGUGCACCGGAAUCGUUGCGAUCCAAAUGUAUCAAAAAUUAUUAUUUCCCGGGCGACGUUCAAUGACCAGAAAAAUAUUUGCCUAUAACGAGACGCGUCGUCGAGCCGGGGACAGGAUACGAUCGCAAUUUGAAAUUCGAAUUAUUAUAAUUAUGGGUUGGUCCGUUAAAAAUCAGAAGACAAAGAGAGAAAAGCGGUAACCACCGCUAUCCAAUGAUACAAUUAAUAAAGAGUUACAUGGUAGAAUGCGUCUACGAGAUGAGCUUGUUAAAUCGAAAAUUUUCAUGCGCAUUAAAUUAAGAAUCGAUCGUACGCGUUAUUACGAUACUAACGCAACUUGCCAAUAUUUCCCUCGUAUUAAACGAAGAAAAAAACAGGCGUAAUAAUCAUUCUCCGCGUUAAUAGAGUAUAAACGUUUCCUUUCUCGUCCUGCGGAGUGUUCUUAUCAAGAUUCUUCUCAACUUAUCAGGAUAGUUCCUUACGCGCAAGGAAGAUGAUCUGCGCCCGGAACGACUCGAAGAACGCUGCGAGAUCACCGGCAACGGCAACGGCAACGCGUCGGCUACCUAUUCGAUGUAUACGAUAUUUCUUCGCGACUUGUCAAUAAAACGUUUACGA
Molecule: long non-coding RNA, 2446 nt
Organism: Megachile rotundata (alfalfa leafcutting bee)
Lineage: Eukaryota; Metazoa; Arthropoda; Insecta; Hymenoptera; Megachilidae
Source: RefSeq, a predicted model, not a curated record